GAUGAACGCUGGCGGCGUGCCUAAUACAUGCAAGUCGAGCGAACAGACGAGGAGCUUGCUCCUCUGACGUUAGCGGCGGACGGGUGAGUAAAACGUGGAUAACCUACCUAUAAGACUGGGAUAACUUCGGGAAGCCGGAGCUAAUACCGGAUAAUAUAUUGAACCGCAUGGUUCAAUAGUGAAAGACGGUUUUGCUUUCACUUAUAGAUGGAUCCGCGCCGCAUUAGCUAGUUGGUAAGGUAACGGCUUACCAAGGCGACGAUGCGUAGCCGACCUGAGAGGGUGAUCGGCCACACUGGAACUGAGACACGGUCCAGACUCCUACGGGAGGCAGCAGUAGGGAAUCUUCCGCAAUGGGCGAAAGCCUGACGGAGCAACGCCGCGUGAGUGAUGAAGGUCUUCGGAUCGUAAAACUCUGUUAUUAGGGAAGAACAAAUGUGUAAGUAACUAUGCACGUCUUGACGGUACCUAAUCAGAAAGCCACGGCUAACUACGUG
RNAcentral lists this ribosomal RNA (497 nucleotides) under uncultured bacterium. RNAcentral's name for it is "partial 16S ribosomal RNA". It matches the Rfam family "Bacterial small subunit ribosomal RNA", at positions 28 to 507 of the family's 1533-position model. The record is from RNAcentral.